UAUUCACAUGAGAACAAAAGGACAAGUGCCAUGAAAAACAGUCAAUGCACCAAGUUAAAAGAUUUAAACAAAGUUGUAAGCCUGGCAGUAUAUACUAGAGUCCCCCAUUCUUACACAAGAUUAAUGAACACUAACUAAUACAACUAAUGGAACACCAUGUUCCUAAAAAUGUGACUUUCCAAUGCCAUCAUUUGAUUAAUGUGAUUUAUAAUUGUGUUAAAACCUGCAUUAGUAUCACUCCGAGGAUCCAUGUGCAUAGUUUUAAGUGUCACUCCCAGAGCCUAUUGAAGCUCCUGCAUGUUUCCAACAGAAGGAGAGCGUGUUUGUUCUUGGCUGCUCCAGUGGAGUCCCGUGAAGAGAGAGCACUGUGGUAUGGCACUUAUCCAAAAGGGACCAUCUGUCCCCCCCCCCUGAAAGUGGGCCUAGCCACACCAGCCUUUGCUGUUAUGGGGAGAAAUAAAAAGGGACAAGCAGGGUUGAUGUGGCCCAGCAGGCCUCCAGAAUAAACCACCACCUAUUUCCAUCAGCACAUAACCCCCCAAGCCUCUUCUCAGUAGCAUGCUGCUUACCAGGCUACCUCCGUACCAACGGCAGCCUGUCACCAGAGUGGACUCUCUCAAAAGGACAAGAGGUACACAAGGAGAGGAGGAGAGGAGUGGUGAGAAGAAUGUUGACAAGAAUGUUUUCAUCUCACAAAAGAGAGUCGAGAAGCCAAUCAAAAGCUGGAGGGAGGGGAUACUGGGCUCAACCACUUCUACAUUUGACCUAGACAUUGCCACCCCACAACAAGCCACCCUGAUGCCACACGAUGAUCCAGCAAAACCAGGCUAAGCUGUGUUUGACUCUGACUCAGAGACUGACACAAAAACUUGUUUUUACUUUACAGACUCCAGAGAGAAGUGUGAAAGAGGAGAUGCGAAACUAUACGGAGAUAUUUUUUGGCACUUAAAACCACAAAA
Solea solea (common sole) is the source of this 959-nucleotide long non-coding RNA. RefSeq lists it as uncharacterized. NCBI's taxonomy places the organism in Eukaryota, Metazoa, Chordata, Actinopteri, Pleuronectiformes, Soleidae. The transcript is spliced from 2 exons. The record is from RefSeq and is a predicted model, not a curated record.